Molecule: transfer RNA, 65 nt
Filed under: Elateroidea sp. 7 KM-2017
Lineage: Eukaryota; Metazoa; Arthropoda; Insecta; Coleoptera
Description: tRNA-His
Source: RNAcentral
AUCUAAAUAGUUUAAUUAAAAUAUUGAUUUGUGGGGUCGAUGAUGUAAUUUUGUUACUUUAGAUA